GGGAGGGGCAGAGAGCGAAGGGGACACAGAAUCUGAAGCAGGCUCCACUCGCUCAGCACAGAUCCCGACGUGAGGCUCAAACCCACGAACCAUCAGAUCGUGACCUGAGCCAAAGUUGGACGCCCAACCGAGCCACCCAGGCGCUCCUGCAAGUAUGUAUUUUCUUGAUUGAGGGUAUGCUCCAGGGAUCCUUCGAGCUCUGCUACCUGUGCUGUUUUGAGCCCUGGUUCGGUUAAUCUGCAGUCCCAGGAGGAGAAGGACACUAAGGGCAAAACCCAAAGGCAUUGCUGAGGUUGAGCUUAAAAGGCAUUUUUUUCUAGUUACUUAACAUGUCCACACUGAGGAUGGGGCAGAGGUGGGGGUUGGGUAGGGGCUCAAAGCAGAUUCUCCUCUAAUUUAAUUAUGAAAUGGCAAAUGCCUCCCUUUAUGGUCUCAUAUUUUUCAGGUGCCUCCCGGCCUUCUGGUUUUGCCACAGCUGUGAUUGGAAAGGAUUGCUCAUACUUAUGGCUCAAAUGGACCCAAGUUCUCCUAAUAUGGAAGACCAAUCUUCCCCAUCUUCUGUGGUUUAUGCUGUGUUUUACGUCAUAGCUAACUGCUGAAAUUGUUGAUAAAUAACCUUAAUCUUUAAUACUUUAUUCCAUUUUGCAGGGAGAAUCAAAAUCAGAUGGCAGUGCUUCUAAAACCUUGUCAGCUGUAAUGGUAUGAUCUCGGAUACUCUCCUGCAUUUCUUGUGCCAUAAACUUAGGUGUGUGCAACAAGAGUCCUUGGAGUCCAUGCUGAUAGCACCCACUAUGAAAAGUGUUCAAUACCAUUAUAGGCACCGCCUUUCAUGCUCUGGACCAGCAAAUAAGCAAGACCUGUGUACUGCCUGUUGUAAAAGUUGGGAUAACACCAAAUCUGGUUGAAUCACUGCCUUCAUUUUUAUUUCUCAACAUAAAUAUUUUUUAUAUGAAUGAACCAACAUUUUUUUCACUGGGUACAAAGGACUAUUUUUUAAUCCCCUUUUUAAAGGGGUAGGAGAGGGUUUAAUGCAUAUAGACAGCAGUAAUAGGAACGUGGGCUUUGCACAUUGCAGACUCACUGACCUUUUAG
RNAcentral lists this long non-coding RNA (1092 nucleotides) under Felis catus (domestic cat). RNAcentral's name for it is "lncRNA (ENSFCAG00000051798.1)". The record is from RNAcentral. Lineage: Eukaryota; Metazoa; Chordata; Mammalia; Carnivora; Felidae.